This 292-nucleotide ribosomal RNA is filed under the name uncultured eukaryote. RNAcentral's name for it is "partial 18S ribosomal RNA". It matches the Rfam family "Eukaryotic small subunit ribosomal RNA", at positions 6 to 277 of the family's 1831-position model. The record is from RNAcentral.
GGUUGAUCCUGCCAGUAACAUAUGCUUGUCUCAAAGAUUAAGCCAUGCAUGUUUAAGUGUGAACUCAUUUUCGCAUAGCUGAACUGCGUACAGCUCAUUAAAUCAGUUAUAAUUUCUUUGAGGGUUGUUAAUUUCAUCGAUUACUAUACGGAUACCCGUAGUAAUUCUAGAGCUAAUACGUGCGUAGGGGUGUUGAUCAACCUCGGUUGGUUGACACUGUGCUGAUUAGAUUCAUGUUAUGUUGUCGCAUGGUUAAUGAGACGACCCAUGAUCAUCGUUCUGACGCUGGGCU